This 1918-nucleotide ribosomal RNA is filed under the name human gut metagenome. RNAcentral describes it as "bacterial LSU rRNA". It matches the Rfam family "Bacterial large subunit ribosomal RNA", at positions 1 to 1977 of the family's 2925-position model. The record is from RNAcentral.
UUAAGAAAGCAAGAGCGCACGGUGGAUGCCUAGGCACUAAUAGGCGAAGAAGGACGCGACUAACAGCGAAAUGCUACGGGGAGCAGUAAGUAGGCAAAGAUCCGUAGGUAUCCGAAUGGGGAAACCCACUAGUUAGAAGAGCUAGUAUUGAAUAAUGAAUAGAUAGUUAUUCAAGGCGAACCCGGGGAACUGAAACAUCUAAGUACCCGGAGGAAAAGAGAACAAAAGUAAUUCCCUAAGUAGAGGCGAUUGAAAGGGGAGGAGCCCAGCACCAUGAAGAGUUAGAAAAUCUUUUUAUAGUAGAAUUGUAUUGGAAAAGCAAGACAAAGAAGGUGAAAUCCCUGUAUACGAAAUAAAGAGAUCUCGGUGUCGGAGUAGGGCGGAGCACGAGGAAUUCUGUCUGAAUAAGUGAGGACCAUCUCAUAAGGCUAAAUACUCAUUAGUGACCGAUAGUGAACCAGUACUGUGAAGGAAAGGUGAAAAGAACCCCUGGCGGGGAGUGAAAAGAACCUGAAACCGUGUGCUUACAAACAGUUAGAGCCCGUCAAAGGGUGAUAGCGUGCCUUUUGUAGAAUGAGCCGGCGAGUUACGUUAAUGUGCGAGGUUAAGUUUUAAGGGACGGAGCCGAAGCGAAAGCGAGUCUGAAGAGGGCGAAAUAGUAGAUUGACGUAUACCCGAAACCGGGUGAUCUAGCCAUGAGCAGGUUGAAGCUUGGGUAAAACCAGGUGGAGGACCGAACCAGGGUCUGUUGAAAAAGACUUGGAUGACUUGUGGCUAGGGGUGAAAUUCCAAUCGAACCCGGAGAUAGCUGGUUCUCCCCGAAAUAGCUUUAGGGCUAGCGUCGAGGUAAGUUGCGUGAAGGUAGAGCACUGAAUAUGUGAUGGCCCCAUCUCGGGGUACUGAGCAUAAUCAAACUGCGAAUGUCACGCCAACAUGCUCGGCAGUCAGACAGCGGGUGAUAAGGUCCGUUGUCAAGAGGGAAACAGCCCAGACCAUCAGCUAAGGUCCCAAAAUGUAUGCUAAGUGGAAAAGGAUGUGGAGAUGUACAGACAACUAGGAGGUUGGCUCAGAAGCAGCCAUCCUUUAAAGAGUGCGUAACAGCUCACUAGUCGAAUGACUCUGCGCCGAUAAUUUACCGGGGCUAAGCAUACUACCGAAGCUAUGGAUCCCAAGGGAUGGUAGGGGAGCGUUCCAUGAACGGAGAAGUACGACCGAAAGGACGUGUGGAGAUCAUGGAAGAGAGAAUGCCGGUGUGAGUAGCGGAACGUGGGUGAGAAUCCCACGCACCGAAAACCCAAGGUUUCCAGAGGAAGGUUCGUCCGCUCUGGGUAAGUCGGGACCUAAGGCGAGGCCGAAAGGCGUAGUCGAUGGACAACAGGUAGAGAUUCCUGUACCCGUAUAUAUGUGAAGGAAUGACGGAGAGAGGAAGCUGCAGCCAGCGGCUGGAAGAGCUGGUGCAAGCGAGAUAUCGGGAUGGCAGGCAAAUCCACCAUCCGAAACGAGAAGGCGUGAAGCGUACGGAAAGCUACGGCGAGUACGGAAGGCAGUGGAGGAACUUCCAAGAAAAGUUUCUAACGUAAAGUAUAUAUGGCCCGUACCGAAAAUGGACACACAUGGGUGAGGAGAGAAUCCUAAGGUGAGCGAGAGAACUAUAGCUAAGGAACUCUGCAAAAUGACUCCGUAACUUAGGGAGAAGGAGUGCUCAUAGAGAUAUGAGCCGCAGUGAAACGGCCCAAGCGACUGUUUACCAAAAACACAGCUCUCUGCUAAGCCGCAAGGCGAAGUAUAGGGGGUGACGCCUGCCCGGUGCUGGAAGGUUAAGGGGAGGGGUUAACGCAAGUGAAGCCCUGAACUGAAGCCCCAGUAAACGGCGGCCGUAACUAUAACGGUCCUAAGGUAGCGAAAUUCCUUGUCAGGU